GACGAACGCUGGAGGCGUGCUUAACACAUGCAAGUCGAACGGAGUGGCGAACGGGUGAGUAACACGUGGGUGAUCGGACGUGAACUGCGGGAUAAGCUUGGGAAACUGGGGCUAAUACCGGAUAGUGCAAGAUGAGCUCGCGGACUAUCAGCUUGUUGGUGGGGUAAUGGCCUACCAAGGCGGGGACUGGUAGCCGGCCUGAGAGUGUGUACGGCCACAUUGGGACUGAGAUACGGCCCAGACUCCUACGGGAGGCAGCAGUGGGGAAUAUUGCACAAUGGGCGGAAGCCUGAUGCAGCGACGCCGCGUGGGUGAUGAAGGCCUUCGGGUUGUAAACUCCUUUCGACAGGGACGCGGUACCUGUAUAAGAAGCACCGGCUAACUACGUGCCAGCAGCCGCGGUAAUUC
Molecule: ribosomal RNA, 408 nt
Filed under: uncultured bacterium
Lineage: Bacteria
Description: partial 16S ribosomal RNA
Rfam family: Bacterial small subunit ribosomal RNA
Source: RNAcentral